GAACUUCAAUAGUCCCGCGAUUCAUUCUUGCCUAGAGUCAAGUGCAUUUUCAGAGUAUUAACUGAAUCUGGAUCUAUAACUUUAGCCAGUUGAAUCAGCCUGUCAUGGUAGCGGGUGUUGCGUUAAAGACAAUUUGGGCUUGUAUACACAUUCAACUUGGGCGUUAUAGGUAAAUCGACAUGUUCUUUGAUUUCAGUCAUUCUGACGGCAUGCCGUUUGCAUUGUUUGUAUUACACAAGUGACUAAUUCCUCAGAUUUAGCUUCAUUUGUGUCGAUGCCUAAUGUUGAGCGGCUGUCAUUGAAAUCGGCAAGUCACAGAAUGUAUUGGAUGCCGAGUUAUUCGACCCGUCUUGAAACACGGUCUAAGGAGUUCACUGCAUGUGCAAGAGUUCGGUUGUAUGAAAAACCUUGCUCGCAAUGAAAGUAAAGAACAUUCUUGCAAUGUUUGAAGUGUGAUUUUUUGUGUCACAUUCACGUGUGAUACAGACGCAACACUGACUGGUUCUAUUGCCGUUGGCAGAGAGCUAAGUAAGAGUAUAUGCAAUGAGACCCGAAAGAUGGUGAACUUUACGUGUAUAGAAUGAAGUCAGAGGAAACUCUGAUGGAAGUUCGUAGCGAUCCUGACGUGCAAAUCGGUCGUCAAAUAUGCGUAAAGGGGCGAAAGACUAAUCGAACCAUCUAGUAGCUGGUUCCGUCCGAAGUUUCCCUCAGGAUAGCUGGCGCUCAGUAUUUACAGUUAUAUCCGGUAAAGCGAAUGUUUAGAGGCCUUAGGAACAAAAUGUUCUUAACCUAUUGACAAACUUUAAAUGGGUAUGAAGUUCAUUUUUCUACUUCAUUGAGAAUGAACUGCGAAUGUGAGUGCCAAGUGGGCCAUUUUUGGUAAGCAGAACUGGCGCUGUUGGAUGCACAAAACGCAGAGUUAAAGAGCCAGAUGAUCUCGCUCAUCAGAAACCAUAAAAGGUGUUGGUCGAUAUAGACAGCAGGACGGUGGCCAUGGAAGUCGGAAUCCGUUAAGGAGUGUGUAACAACUCACCUGCCGAAUCGACUAGUCCUAAAAAUGGAUGGCGCUCGAGCGAGUCUCUUAUACUCUGCUGUUGCAAUAGAACAAGCCAAAAGCGGACACUAUGUUGCAACAAGUAGGACGGUUGAUAUGGUUGCGUCGAAGGUUAGCUCGUGAGAGCGACUGGAGCAGUCAUAUGUGCAGAUCUUAGUGGUAGUAGCAACUAUUCAAAUGAGAACUUUGAAGACUGACGUGGAGAAAGGUUCCAUGUGAACAGCUAUUGGACAUGGGUCAGUCAGUCCUAAGAUGCGCUCGAAAGAGGGUUCCGAACGAGGAAUAUCUAUAUUCAUUUAUAUUCCAUCAAAUCGAAAGGGAAACAAGUUAAUAUUCUUGUACUAAGUGUCGGAGAUUGUUUGAUUUCUUGUCAAACAUAUGUGGUAACACAAACAAGCUCAAAUACAUCACAAGUGGUCCUGGAAAGAGUUUUCUCUUCUUUGUUACUUCAUCAGACGACCCUGGAAUCAGUUCAACUGGAGAUAGGGUUCAAAUGAAGGUAAAGAGUAGCCGUUCUUGCUACUUCCUCGGUGCAUCAUUUGUGAUCCUUGAAAAUUUGAGCGAGAUAUUCAAUUUCGCACUUAUCUGUACUCUAAACCGCAUCAGGUCUCCAAGGUGAAAAGCCUCUAGUCAAUUAGAACAAGGUAGCACAAGGGAAGUCGGCAAAAUCGAUCGGCAACUUCGGGAUAACGAUUGGCUCUAAGUGCUAGGGUGUUCGGGCUUGAUGAUAAAGCAGUAGACUUGCUAUUGGAGCUGAGCUUUCGGAUACAGCAAUGUGUCUGAUCGUUCGGACUAGUGGCUUGUCUUGCUGUGGAAUCGUUUUGCUACGGUAUGCGAUUCGCUUGCGGGUCGUAUUACUUCGGACAUCGUUUAAUAGCAAACUUAGAACUCGCUGCGUCUAGGGGAAUCCGACUGUCUAGUUAAAACAGAGCUUUGCGAUUGGCCGGAAAACUUGGUGUUGACGCAAAGUGAUUUCUGCCCAGUGCUCUGAAUGUUAACGUGAAGAAAUUCAAACAAGCGCGGGUAAACGGCGGGAGUAACUAUGACUCUCUUCUGGUAGCCAAAUGCCUCGUCAUCUAAUUAGUGACGCGCAUGAAUGGAUUAACGAGAUUCCCACUGUCCCUGUCUACUAUCUAGCGAAACCACAGCCAAGGGAACGGGCUUGGACUUCAAUGCGGGGAAAGAAGACCCUGUUGAG
Molecule: ribosomal RNA, 2252 nt
Filed under: Mniobia magna
Lineage: Eukaryota; Metazoa; Rotifera; Eurotatoria; Philodinida; Philodinidae
Description: eukaryotic LSU rRNA
Rfam family: Eukaryotic large subunit ribosomal RNA
Source: RNAcentral